GAAAAAACCAGCACACCUCCGUGAGGUUAAACGGCCUGAGUGGGGGCAUUUCUGGUGCCAUCGUGUUAUAACCAGCAGGGGGACGCCCCACACCAAACCGAGCGCUUCUCUCUUCACCAAAUGACUGGACUGAAUCGGAUCAUGUGACCGCCUGACCACAGGAAGAUCAGCUGGACUGUGACAGUGGGGACGGUUCUGGACCCUAAACAUUGGCUCCAUGUUUGACACGAAGAUGAUUCUGGGCCGAGAAGAACCGACAUUCGGACUCGACAGAACCACAGACACAUAGUUACCGGUGUGUCUGAAACAGAACCUGAACUACUUGAUGAAGGAGAAUAGUGCGUAUACAGUACAUUUCUGCGGAACCAACUGAGACGGUUUCCCAUGAACAGAGCCCCCUCCCUGACUUUCCGGUAGCUCGCCGUUAACUUCCCCACGGUUCCGCUCGCCUCCUGAGGCGGCCCGUCCCGUCAAGUACUGACCGAUGGUGGAGAUGAAGGUGGUGUUGAAGGCGUCCUCGCUGAACCGGAACAGGAGGCAGGUUUUCCCGACGCCGCUGUCGCCGAUCAGCAGCAGCUUGAACAGGUAGUCGUACGUCUUGGCCAUGUUCCGCCGCGUCCGGUGAAGUAAUGGAACCACCGGCCUGCUCGUCGCGCUCACCGGGAGUCCCGGUUCUGUACUGGUUUCUCUUAAACCGGACCGUUAGGGAGCAGGAAACAGCCCCGCUUCAAGAAAUGCGCAAAAUACCGCGACAUUCAUCCGGAACGGAUUUUUCAUAAUAAAAUCUGAAAAAAAAAUUAACCGAUCAAAGUGGACUCGUUUUUGUUUUGGCCUUUUUCAGACAUUUUACUUCCGGUCCUCGGAGGAGAAUGAUGGGACGUUCACGAGUCUCUGGACGUGUAUGCGUAUGCUGUGAUAUAGUUUAAAUUUCAUUUUUGUAACUGAAUGCGCUCUUUGUGAUAUAGUCAAGGACUGGGUAGUCAUAGCUAUUACUGCAUAUGUACAUAAAGUAUCUGCUUGUAGGUUAUUUUAACAUCUUUACUUUAUACACACGUGUUUCUCACUGAUCACGCAUCAAUGCAGUUUCAAACGACGACAAUGACAAAUACAACUCUUUAGUUUGGAGGCAAUAUUGUGGCGUUUCCGGCCUAUCUUUCACAACUUGACGCAGUACCGACGUAUGUGACGUCAUCGUCAAAGGGAUGGGGCGUGUCCACAGCUAUGGGUUGCCAGUUUGGCAUAAACAGUUGCAAACUCUAAAAAGUGCCAAAGAAGAUUCGUUUCAGCCAGAAUUCCUAACAACAUAAUAUUGAUGGACUAAAGGAAUGGAUGAACUAUGUUCACAUGACAAUGUUACUAAGAUAUAGCUUUUAUUAUAGGACAACUAUUUUUUACUCUCAGCCUUUUACUUGCAACAGAUUAAGAUUUUCUUUCUUAGCUGCUAGUUGCAAAAUGUCAACAGUUUGGUUAUACGGGCAUCACAAAAGAAACCCCCCCAAAAAAACAGACAAAAAACAAAAUGUAAUAAACUGAACUCAAAGUCUUUUAAAACACAGGCACUGCAAUUUAUUUAAUCGUUAGAUAAAAAAAAAACCCUAGAGGUUGAAUCUUUUUAAUAAAACAAUUUAUUCAAGGACUUGACAAUAAGGCAGACAUUGCAGGUUUGUGGGGACAAACUGCAUGUAAAGUUAGAUAUAAAUGUAUAAAUUCUAGCGUCACUGAUAAGUUUGUGUAUAGUUAUUCAAGACAGAAGCAUGAGACAGGAAAGUAGAAACAAUAAAUAAGGCCAUUUAACCAAGUCACCUUCAAAAAAACAGAAAACAAUGAAAUCCAAUUAUUAAGACCAAUAUAAUGAUAUUUCAAAGACAGUGGAAAGGUGUCAUCCCAACAUUGUGCGUGUUUGCGAUGAAUGUUUGACCAAAUUCGGCUACAGAACCCACCCCUUAUUACAGCACUAACACAGGUGAAACAGACCUUGGGAGGGAGCUUGGAAGAAGGUUAGUCUAGGUCCUGGAUCCGGUGGCAGAUCUCAGCUGUAAACUCUGAGCACUUUGAGCUUCCUCCCAGGUCCUUCGUCAGCACCUAAUACACACAGGAAUCAUAAGCAUCAAACAGUUGGUCACAACAUGGUUUGGUGAGGACUCGUAUGUGUCACAGAGACAAUGUCUUCUAAUACAUUAAACUUUUCCAAGUGAGAGCAGUUUAUCAGAAUUGCUGAUAACAUGAAGCAGGUUGGGAGCUGUUGUUCACAGGGACAGUAAAACACAGACAACCACCUGAAGUUUCAGUCUCACCUUCUUGUCUCUGAUGGUGUCGAAACAGGCAGUCUGGAUCUUGGCGGCAUAGUCGUGGAGUCCCAUGUGACGCAGCAUCAUGACAGCACUGAGCAGCAAGGCAGUAGGGUUGGCCAGGUCCAUCCCGGCAAUGUCGGGGGCAGUGCCAUGAACCUACAGAGCAGAGCAAACCUCAAAAUGGACGAUUCCAUGCUGGUCCAAUGAGGAAAUGUCAACUACUGUAUUGGUUAAGUUGACUAGUGGAGCUUUUUAACAUAACUGUCACUGUGAUGCAUCAUAUAGUGAUGACUAGAAACACAAACUGAUUCUUUGAAUAGUGGGUUUGUUCAUUUAAAUUUCAAACACUUGUUUCAAAACCUUUUUUUUAAACACAAGAUGAAGCCCAGUCAAUUAUGCAGGCGACAAAUAUGACAAUGAGUCUAUAAUGAUGUACAUUAGGUAGUUUUAAGCCUUGAAGGCAUAAGAUGAACUGUAGAGGUAUAAAUGUUGGAAGAAACAAACCGAUUCAAAUAUGGCCACUCCGUUCGCUCCGAUGUUCCCACUGGGUGUGACUCCGAGACCUCCGAUCAGACCAGCACAUAGAUCACUGCAAUACACCAUGUCCAACCGUUAGCACCAUGUAGGAGACCACACAGCUUGUUUCACACAAAUACGACCAACCUCAGGAUGUCUCCAUACAAGUUGGGCAUGACUAGAACAUCAAACUUGGUCGGAUCCUGGACCAUCUACAAUACCAGAAAAUCCCAAGGUUAGAAAUUAUUUAAUGGCAUUAAGGAAACAAUGCAAAGGUCAAAUGUCUGCACAGGGAAACAGGAAGUACUGUAAUAUUCAAGAUAAACGUAUUCUUCCCACAGUGGGGAAAUUCAAUUGCCAGCGCAGCCACAAAGUAAUAGCAAGAUACAAACACAGUGGGUCAUAGAACAUGAGCAGAGUUGUGUUCUGCUCAAUUUGAUUUUACCAAAUACAAAAUACAGAUCCUCAGUUUAGGUCUGCCAAUUGUGCAGAAAAACCUCAGUUUAGUGAACUCACAUUAAGGCACACAGUGUCAAGGUACAUCUCCGUAAACUUGAUGUCUUUGUAGUUUUCAGCCACUUCACGACAUUUUCUGAGAAACAGACCAUCAGACAUCCGCCUGCACACACAAACACCCAUUGCUGAUGAAGAAACGUCUGACAUCACAAACCAUCAUGCAUGUCUGCACAACACUUUUCAUGUAUACAAAAAAAAUAGGCAAAGAUGAACAGAAAAUCUAAAAUACGCAGCAAAAAAAAACAAAAAAAAAAAACACAGGAAGCAUCAGCCAACAGCUGGAGGGCACAAACACUGACGUUUGUAGCAGGAAACAAACUGGACCAGCACCACAGUCCUCACCAGGGGAAGCAGGUAGGACAACGGAUACAUUGUUACUGUUUGUGAAUAUAUUCACAUGCUUCUAACUGAGGUGUCUGCACAUAUUUCAGAAGUCUAAAGCUGGAAUUGUACUGUGGCUUACGGAGAUCAACUCACAUGAUGUUGGCUUUGUGGACAGCAGUGACACUGGUUCUUUGGUUGUUUCUGGCGUAUUCAAAUGCGUACUCUGCGAUACGUCUGCUGGCGUUCUCUGUGAUCAGUUUGAUGCUCUGAACAACU
Long non-coding RNA from Betta splendens (Siamese fighting fish), 3923 nucleotides. RefSeq lists it as uncharacterized. The record is from RefSeq and is a predicted model, not a curated record. The transcript has 2 exons. NCBI's taxonomy places the organism in Eukaryota, Metazoa, Chordata, Actinopteri, Anabantiformes, Osphronemidae.